AGAUGGUGUUUCGCUCUGUCCCUCAGGCUGGAGUGCAGUGGCGCCAUCUCGGCUCACUGCAACCUCUGCCUCCCAGGUUCAAGUGAUUCUCCUGCCUUGGCCUCCUGAGUAGCUGGGAAUAUAGGCAUGCACCACCACAUCCAGCUAAUUUUGUAUUUCUAUUAGAGAAAGGGUUUCGCUAUGUUGGCCAGGCUGGUCUCAAACUCCUGACCUCAGUUGAUUCGCCUGCCUUGGCCUCCCAAAUUGCUGGGAUUACAAGUGUGAACCACUGUACCCGGCCAAGAUCCAUGAAUUCUUCUGCACAUCAGACACUACUUAUACUUUUUACUUGGAUCAUCUGAUGUCUUGACUUCCAGAAAUGCAUUUCCCAUUGUUUAUGAUAAUAGGAGUUCUUUUCCUCUUUAAACUCUGAUCCUUUGCUCUGGAGAAGCCAGGCACCAUGGCAUGAGGCAGCCCUGUGGAGAGGUUCAUGUGGUACAGGACCAGGCCUGCAGCAUCACUUGAUACAAAGAAGUAAGUUACUGUUGGAUUAAGAAUAUCCAAGACAAUGGUCACAACUUGAAAGCACAUGGAAAAACAUGAAUUAUUUUUAUAAUGUCAGCUAAUCCACAGCUGUGCCACCUGUUAGUAUGGAUGCUAUCCAAAAGGAUUUUUGAAACCUUGUUAUCCAAAUGCAGAAGUGGCAGCUGAAGAGAUGAUUUGUGACAGUAUUUGCUGAGACGAAGUCUGUCCACUAGAUGGAUAAAACCAGUUCCCUUUUCAUAGGCUCUUUUAAUGCAAGAGAAAGAAAACCAGCUACAACCAGCUAAAAUCAAAUGGGGAGUUUCAUGGUGCACAUCCACAAAGUGGACAUGUCAGGACAGGGGAACAUCUGGAUCACAAGAAUGCCGGUUCCCAAAGACAAUAAGGAUGGUUUCCAGCCUCUACUAUUUCUGCACUGUGAAGCCAUCAUCUCCAUUUCAGACUUUCCCACUAAGCAGGAAAUACAAUUGCCAACAGCAGCUAGCUUCAUACCUCAAAGCAACACCAGAAAGAAGAAGCAUUUCCAUCGAGGGAAGGAUUGAUUGUAAGGAGUAUUUCCCCCAAAAGGAAGAGAAGAACAAAGAAGCAUAAAGAUUGAUUACUGAACCAGGAGCUGAACAUUCAUAUUUAAUGUACGCGCCUGGAAAUUCGAACGUCCCCCACCCUCCAGGAUCUUGAGAAAUCCUACUGGGAAAAAUAUUAAGAAAUAUGGUAAAAUAAAGAUUAGUGUUUUUA
Long non-coding RNA from Pan troglodytes (chimpanzee), 1257 nucleotides. RefSeq lists it as uncharacterized. The record is from RefSeq and is a predicted model, not a curated record. Lineage: Eukaryota; Metazoa; Chordata; Mammalia; Primates; Hominidae. The transcript has 7 exons.